UACAGAGGAGCCAAGCGUUGUCCGGAUUGACUGGGCGUAAAGCGCACGCAGGCGGACGCGCGCGUGGGGUGUGAAAUCUGGCCGCUUAACGGCCAGGCGCCAUCCCAUACGGCGCGUCUGGAGCAAUGCAGAGGUCGGUGGAAUUGCCGGUGUAGUGGUGAAAUGCGUAGAGAUCUGGAAGAACACCGGUGGCGAAGGCGGUGGUCUGGGCCGUUACUGACGCUGAGGAGCGAAAGCCAGGGGAGCGAACGGG
RNAcentral lists this ribosomal RNA (253 nucleotides) under uncultured bacterium. RNAcentral describes it as "partial 16S ribosomal RNA". It matches the Rfam family "Bacterial small subunit ribosomal RNA", at positions 524 to 776 of the family's 1533-position model. The record is from RNAcentral.